CACGUAGGGCGCGAGCGUUGUCCGGAAUUAUUGGGCGUAAAGAGCUCGUAGGCGGCUUGUUGCGUCGACCGUGAAAACCCGGGGCUCAACUUCGGGCUUGCGGUCGAUACGGGCGGGCUAGAGUUCGGUAGGGGAGACUGGAAUUCCUGGUGUAGCGGUGAAAUGCGCAGAUAUCAGGAGGAACACCGGUGGCGAAGGCGGGUCUCUGGGCCGAUACUGACGCUGAGGAGCGAAAGCGUGGGGAGCGAACAGG
Molecule: ribosomal RNA, 253 nt
Filed under: uncultured bacterium
Lineage: Bacteria
Description: partial 16S ribosomal RNA
Rfam family: Bacterial small subunit ribosomal RNA
Source: RNAcentral